AUAGUGAAACCGCGAAUGGCUCAUUAAAUCAGCUACGAUUCCUUAGAUCGUUUAUACAUGGAUAACUGUGGUAAUUCUAGAGCUAAUACAUGCACUAAAGCUCUGACCUUAAGGAAAGAGCGCUUUUAUUAGACUAAAACCAAACAAGCUUUGCUUGUAUAUUUGGUGACUCUGAAUAACUUUGCUGAUCGUAUGGCCUUGUGCCGACGACGUAUCUUUCAAAUGUCUGCCCUAUCAACUUGUGACGGUAGGUGCUAUGCCUACCAUGGUUAUAACGGGUAACGGAGAAUCAGGGUUUGAUUCCGGAGAGGGAGCAUGAGAAACGGCUACCACAUCCAAGGAAGGCAGCAGGCGCGCAAAUUACCCACUCCCGGCACGGGGAGGUAGUGACGAAAAAUAACAAUACGAGCCUUUUUCGAGGCCUCGUAAUUGGAAUGAGUACAAUUUAAAUCCUUUAACGAGGAUCAAUUGGAGGGCAAGUCUGGUGCCAGCAGCCGGGGUAAUYCMGGCUCCAAUAGCGUAUACUAAAGUUGUUGC
RNAcentral lists this ribosomal RNA (537 nucleotides) under Lepidodasys sp. 184616388. Its description in RNAcentral is "SSU rRNA". It matches the Rfam family "Eukaryotic small subunit ribosomal RNA", at positions 78 to 618 of the family's 1831-position model. The record is from RNAcentral. Lineage: Eukaryota; Metazoa; Gastrotricha; Macrodasyida; Lepidodasyidae.